CCUACGGGGCGCAGCAGUCGAGAAUCAUUCACAAUGGGGGAAACCCUGAUGGUGCGACGCCGCGUGGGGGAAUGAAGGUCUUCGGAUUGUAAACCCCUGUCAUGUGGGAGCAAAUUAAAAAGAUAGUACCACACGAGGAAGAGACGGCUAACUCUGUGCCAGCAGCCGCGGUAAUACAGAGGUCUCAAGCGUUGUUCGGAAUCACUGGGCGUAAAGCGUGCGUAGGCUGUUUCGUAAGUCGUGUGUGAAAGGCGCGGGCUCAACCCGCGGACGGCACAUGAUACUGCGAGACUAGAGUAAUGGAGGGGGAACCGGAAUUCUCGGUGUAGCAGUGAAAUGCGUAGAUAUCGAGAGGAACACUCGUGGCGAAGGCGGGUUCCUGGACAUUAACUGACGCUGAGGCACGAAGGCCAGGGGAGCGAAAGGGAUUAGAUACCCGUGUAGUC
RNAcentral lists this ribosomal RNA (446 nucleotides) under uncultured bacterium. RNAcentral describes it as "partial 16S ribosomal RNA". It matches the Rfam family "Bacterial small subunit ribosomal RNA", at positions 338 to 795 of the family's 1533-position model. The record is from RNAcentral.